GGUAUCCAAAUUAAAACGAUGAAAACAAAAAAGCGGCCCCUUAGUUACUCUGUGGAGCUAGUAGUGCGAGCAUCCCUUUUUCCUCCAGACCAUUUAUGGAGCGUAGUGCUAGGCGGGUGUGAGAUCUUAUUGGCUGAGCGGCGACAGACAGGGGGUGGCGCGCGCUGCUCUCGAGGAGACGGUUUGAGGCGAGGCGUGCGCGUGACGCCUUUGGGGAAACGGCGGUUCUGAUUGACGGCUAAUUUGACCUUCGGUUGCGAGUGGGAGACAGCUCCCUGGCCCCCAGUUGGCUGGACGAAUCUCGGGGGAAAAGCAGCGAGCCCAUGCCCGGGAACGAGCCUUCCGCCUGGGCUACUGCCGAGUUCUGUGAACACUUUACCAUCAUCUUCAGACACUGCUCACGAGGUUUACAGGGAAACAGAAAGAAAAGAGGAAAAGAACAGAAUUCUAGCCAGGGUGUACAGUAUGAUCCGAUCUUCAGGUCCCAUGAGAGGCGUGUGCCCAGUUAAUAGCAGCCUAUUGACAUCAACCCAUCUGUUCAGGUGGACUGAAGCCAACAGCAAAAGAAAAUGGAUAGAUAAAGAACGACAGAGAGAGAGAGAGAGAGAAAUACAAGCCUCCGUUUAUACGUCAGAGCGGGUGUGUGUUUGUGGAGCAUUCGAGAUUUUAUACAACAGAGCACUCGGGAGACUGCGUGUGUUUACAUGUGGCUCAUUCACUGGGCUGGGAUGUCACUUGAAUCAUGAGUCUACUGCUUGAUUCUAGAGUCAGCUGCCGCUCAUUCCCCUCUCUUCUGUCCAUUCGGGUGCCAGGGGAUUCUGAUUGCUGUCUCCAUAGUGAUUCUAUGUGUCUUCAUAAAGCCCGUUCAGAGUCUG
Long non-coding RNA from Misgurnus anguillicaudatus (oriental weatherfish), 875 nucleotides. RefSeq lists it as uncharacterized. Lineage: Eukaryota; Metazoa; Chordata; Actinopteri; Cypriniformes; Cobitidae. The record is from RefSeq and is a predicted model, not a curated record.